Sciurus carolinensis (gray squirrel) is the source of this 392-nucleotide long non-coding RNA. RefSeq lists it as uncharacterized. The record is from RefSeq and is a predicted model, not a curated record. The transcript is spliced from 3 exons. NCBI's taxonomy places the organism in Eukaryota, Metazoa, Chordata, Mammalia, Rodentia, Sciuridae.
UUAAUUAUAUCUGUCUAGAAACCUCUUUAAUAUAGUGAUAUCCAGAUAUUCACCAACUUUUAUUUCUUUGGAAACCUGGGCUCAAUCAUUUUAUAAAUUCAUUUUUCCUCUAAUGAUUGUCAAGGAAAUCUGGACCUGUUGAACCUGGGCCUACAUCCUAUGGGAGCAAUAGUAAAUCUUAUAUCAAGAAUGUCCCUGAAGGAAAUGGUACAGAAUGUGAAAAUUUCUGGCAAUCCAGGAACGAUGCAAAAUGUCAUCCUGAGAAACAGGAAUAUCACCCCUUUCUGGACCAUGAUAUUUCUGAGAGUGAAAGGAAAUGUGUGAUUUCAACCCUUCCUGUAAGAACUAUCAAAGUAAAGAGCUUGCAUGGUACUCCUCCUUCCUCAACUGAC